AUGUCGUCCAUGCCAUGCCUCGCGGUGGAGCACCGGUGCACCGGCACCAACAAGUCCACGACCACCGUGUUCAGCGUCGCCGGGAACGGGAAGGAGCCCAUCACCGGUGGCCUGGACUCCGACGAGCUCACCGACAAGGCCUUCUGCCCCACUCCGCAGGGGUGGCUAAUAGUCCGGGACCGUCUCGCCACCGUCGACACCUACCUGCUGGACCACCACAGCCAUGAAAAGAUCAACUUGCCGCCGCUGGCGAUCGACCAGGACCUCCUGAUAAAUUGCAGCUGCCUACUCUCCGACGCGCCCACGGCCCCGGGCUGCGUCGUGCUCAUCGUCGAGCCUGACGCGCCCAUCAUCCGGUACCAUCGCAUCGGAGUAGACGACGGCUGGACCAAGCACGAGUACGACCUCGGCACCCAGGGAGACGAGAUCGGCGGGUUCGAGAAGAUCCCCAUGUGCGAGACCGUGGCGUGCCGGGGCAAGUUCUAUUUCCUCAGCUCGCCCACCGAGCUCGGCGUGCUGGAGCUCUCCCCUGCAGCUGCAGGGCCGGCGUUCAGCUCCAUCGCCGUGGACGGUGAGAGCUACAACUGCGGAGAAACAGCGAAGGCCUUCUUGGUGGAGUCCGAGGAGGAGCUGUACAUGGUUAGGCUGCUGCGCAGUCGAGACUUCAACGAAGCCAACGUCUACAAGAUGGAUUUCUCCGAGCAGCAAUGGCGCCACGUCCGCGAUCUCGGCGGCCGCGCCUUCUUUGUCGCUCCGUUGAACUUCGGCGUGUCGUGCUUGGCUGGGGAUCAGUACGGGGUUCAGAAGAACUGUGUCUACUCCCUGGUUAAGUUGUCUGACAAAUCUUUCAACAUGUUCAACGUGGAGGACGGGGCAACAGAGCGGCGCGACAUCGGAGAAGCUUACGUUUCCGUUGAAAAACAUGGGAUCAACCUCCAACAUCCUAUCCUUGGAACACAGCACAGAAUGCUAUGGAUGGUUCCAACCAGCCUCUAA
This 996-nucleotide ribosomal RNA is filed under the name Triticum aestivum (bread wheat). RNAcentral describes it as "partial small subunit ribosomal RNA". Lineage: Eukaryota; Viridiplantae; Streptophyta; Magnoliopsida; Poales; Poaceae. The record is from RNAcentral.